This 392-nucleotide ribosomal RNA is filed under the name uncultured bacterium. Its description in RNAcentral is "bacterial SSU rRNA". It matches the Rfam family "Bacterial small subunit ribosomal RNA", at positions 29 to 424 of the family's 1533-position model. The record is from RNAcentral.
AUUGAACGCUGGCGGAAUGCUUUACACAUGCAAGUCGAGCGGCAGCGCGGGGGCAACCUGGCGGCGAGCGGCGAACGGGUGAGUAAUACAUCGGAACGUACCCAGUUGUGGGGGAUAGCCCGGCGAAAGCCGGAUUAAUACCGCAUACGACCUGAGGGUGAAAGGGGGGGAUCGCAAGACCUCUCGCAGUUGGAGCGGCCGAUGGCGGAUUAGCUAGUUGGUAGGGUAAAGGCCUACCAAGGCGACGAUCCGUAGCUGGUCUGAGAGGACGACCAGCCACACUGGAACUGAGACACGGUCCAGACUCCUACGGGAGGCAGCAGUGGGGAAUUUUGGACAAUGGGGGGCAACCCUGAUCCAGCCAUUCCGCGUGAGUGAAGAAGGCCUCGGUU